CAUGGAAUUUUUAUUGUCUGUCUUCCAGUGUCCCUGGCCUGUAGCUGCAUUGCUGUUUCCCUCUCUCUAGGCUCCUCCUCCCUCCCCAAAUCCUGAGCAGAUGGUUUACAGACCCAAACACGAGAGGACUAACACAAGAGGACUUAUAGGACAUGGGAGAGCGAAAAUAUGAAACUUGCUCCCCAUCACUCUGAGAGUGACCAGUGGGUGAGUUGCCUGGAUUUUGAGCCCAGGCAAGAAGUUUCUGACCACAGGACUCAUUACCUUUUGCAGUAAUUUCCCCAUUACUAGAGGAGGUUGGAGGGAAUAAGCCAGCGUUGGAUAUUCUCUUGUCUGGGAUUCAGCAGAGCAAUUUAAGGAGCACAGAAUGGACUCAGGUGACUUGCUUAAGGCCACACAGUGGGAUGGGACAGUGGCUGUGUUGUUGGGGUUUUUUUUCUAGAGUUUGUUGUCGAGAGCCCAGACCCUAUGCUUGAUUCACUGUAUGACCUUUUGCAGAUUACACUGCCUCGCUUGGUCUCAGUUUUCACAUCCAUAAAAUGGGUUUAAUAUACAGUGCCAUGACUAUGUCGAGUGCAUGGUCAUGGGGCCAGUCCUGCAUGGGGCUCCUCAGCCUUGGGGCAGCAGAGGGAGAAGUCUCAGUGGGGAUGAGAAGGAGGCACCGCCCAGGAGUUAGGUACAUGGUGCUGGCCCCCUACGGUGUGGGCCCAAGAGUUCUCCGAUGUUGUGGGGUAUUCAGUCUGGCGAGAAGAGGCCAGAGCCUGAGCCUCAGUAGGUGGGAGUGGGUCUGAGGCAGCUGAGGCUGUGGCCAGGAGGGGUGUGUAGAUAUCUAUCCCUGCCCGUCUGUGAUAGCAGGAGCAGGCCUGGCAGAGGCUUAAAGGGAAAUGGUGGGAAGGAGGCAGACAAGAGCCUAUCAAAUACCGUGGGGUCUGGCUUUGCCCUGUGUGUAGGGAGAAUAAGUAACACUAGGGGCAGCUGGAAAGCCAGAAGGGUGCAAGCAGUAAAUGCCAAUAUUUGCAUUUGUGAUAUGGGGAGCUGACACUUCCCCCAAAGAGCUUUGUUCUUACUUAAGAGCUUUGCUUCUUACUUAAGCAACUGACAUUUGAAGUUUAUGGAAAACCAAACUCAUUAAACAGUGUAAAGACAGAGGAGACAGCACCCAAGGCAGCAGAGGCCCAGCCUACCCUGGCUGAAAUAGCAUGACUUCUGUGCUCAACCAUAGGCUGACACUGAUGAGCGGCUCAGCCUAACCCCAGGGAAACAGGUAAGGGAGUUAUAGUGAGUGCUAGUGUGGGGAGUGUGAGAGGAACAAGCUGGUGUGAGCACAGGGAUGGGGCGUCUCCAGUAGUGGAGUUGUUUAUGCAUUUAUUCUGCACUUGUUUAUUGAGGUCCUACUGUAAGUGCUGGGGAUAGUAAUAGGAAACAUCUGAGUGGCUUACUACAGGCUGGUGGGCUGUCAACCCAGAGCAUAAUCAUGCUAGCCCCGCCCUAGGGGUGGGGAAGAGCCUAAGUGUCCCUCUGAGUGACACUUCCCUUCUCUCCUGCCCCUCCUCCUAGACCUUUCUUCCACAGCUGCACAGGCGGGCAGGCAGCCUGUGAUGGGGCCCUGCUCAGAAGACCCCCAUCUCUGCUGGGCCUCCCGGCUCCUGGGAUUCACCAGCCUACUCCUCAAAAGAAUAUGGAGAAACUACAGAAGGGACAGCAGACUGGUAAUGCGGGCUCCAGAAGGGAGUGAACUUCGGGAGAAGAGAAAUGGAAGUAGAAACAAUAGGGAGUUAAGUGAAAAUGAACUGAAGACUGGACAACACCGCAAUCACAUACAGGACUUCCUGGGAGAUUAUAUGAUUAUGUAUAAGGAAAUUAAGUGAAAACUGAUGAGGAAAUACUAAUACCCAGUGAAUUAUGAAUUCUGGAGAAAGUUGGAAAGCUUCUAUUGUUUUAACUUUUUGUUUUAGUGACCCAGCCACUAAAUAAACUUGCAGGAGUUAUAUGAAA
Molecule: non-coding RNA, 1995 nt
Organism: Delphinapterus leucas (beluga whale)
Lineage: Eukaryota; Metazoa; Chordata; Mammalia; Artiodactyla; Monodontidae
Source: RefSeq, a predicted model, not a curated record